GCAAUGCGGGUUACGUAUUGCUUGGCUCAGAUUGAACGCUGGCGGGAUGCUUACACACAAGUCGAACGGCAGCACGGACUUCGGUCUGUAGGCGAGUGGCGAACGGGUGAGUAAUGUAUCGGAACGCCUAGUAGCGGGGAUAACUACGCGAAAGUGUAGCUAAUACCGUACAUCAUUCUUCGGGGGAAAGCGGGGACCCGGGCCUCGCACUAUUAGAGCGGCCGAUAUCGGAUUAGCUAGUUGGUGGGGUAACGGCUCACCAAGGCGACGAUCCGUAGCUGGUUUGAGAGGACGACCAGCCACACGGACUGGGAGACACGGCCCAGACUCUACGGGAGGCAGCAGUGGGGAAUUUUGGACAAUGGGGAAACUUUAUCCAGCCAUCCCGCAAAGGAUGAAGCAUUUUCGGGUUGUAAAGCACUUUUGGCAGGAAAGAAACGGCACAAGGAUAAUACCCUGCAACUGACGGUACCUGCAGAAUAAGCACUGGCUAACUACGCCAGCAGCCGCGGUAAUACGUAGGGUGCAAGCGUUAAUCGGAAUUACUGGGCGUAAAGCGUGCGCAGGCGGUUCGGAAAGAAAGAUGAAAUCCAGAGCUUAACUUUGGAACUGCAUUUUUGAAUUACCGGAGCUGAGCAAAGUCAGAGGGAGGUGGACCGCGUGUAGCAGUGAAAUGCGUAGAUAUGCGUGAGGAACACCACAUGGCGAAGCGCAGCCUCCUGGGCAACACUAUCGCCUGCAUCGAAAGCGUGGGGCGAAACAGGAUUACAGACAACUGGUGGUCCACGCUCAAACGAUGUCAACUAGCUGUUGGGGGCCUUCGGGCCUUGUAGCGCGCAGCUAACGCGUGGUUGACCGCCUGGGGAGUACGGUCGCAAGAUUAAAAAAACUCAACCGGAAUUGACGGGACCCGCACAAGCGGUGGAUGAUGGGAUUAAUUCGAUGUGAAUGCGAAAACUCCAUCACCUUUGAUAAACUGGGAACUGAAGAGAUUGGGAGGCUCGCAAGAGAACCGAACACAGGUGCUACGGUUGCCGUCAGCUCGUGCCGUGAGACGUUGGGCCAAGUCCCGCAACGAGCGCAACCUGCCGUUAGUUGCUGAAGAAAGGGCACUCUACCGAGAUCACGAAGAUAAACUGGAGGAAGGUGGGGAUGACGUCAAGUCCUCAUGGCCCUUAAGGUAGGCCACACGUCAUACAAUGGUCGGGACAGAGGGUCGCCAACCCGCGAGGGAGCCAAUCCCAGAAACCCGAUCGUAGUCCGGAUCGCAGUCUGCAACUGGACUGCGGAAGGAAUCACAAUCGCGGAUCAGCAUGUCGCGGUGAAUACGUUCCCGGGUCUUGUACACACCGCCCGUCACACCAUGGGAGUGGGUUUUACCAGAAGUAGUUAGCCUAACCGUAAGGAGGGCGAUUACCACGGUAGGAUUCAUGAUCAGUAGAAGUCGUAACAAGGUAA
RNAcentral lists this ribosomal RNA (1458 nucleotides) under uncultured Bordetella sp. RNAcentral describes it as "partial 16S-23S ribosomal RNA intergenic spacer". It matches the Rfam family "Bacterial small subunit ribosomal RNA". The record is from RNAcentral. Lineage: Bacteria; Pseudomonadati; Pseudomonadota; Betaproteobacteria; Burkholderiales; Alcaligenaceae.